This 433-nucleotide ribosomal RNA is filed under the name uncultured bacterium. RNAcentral's name for it is "partial 16S ribosomal RNA". It matches the Rfam family "Bacterial small subunit ribosomal RNA", at positions 29 to 507 of the family's 1533-position model. The record is from RNAcentral.
AACGAACGCUGGCGGCAUGCCUAACACAUGCGAGUCGAACGAGACCUUCGGGCCUAGGUGCGCACGUGUGCGUAACGCGUGGGAACCUGCCCUUAGGUUCGGAAUAACUCCCCGAAAGGGGUGCUAAUACCGGAUAAUGUCUUAGGACCAAAGAUUUAUCGCCUUUGGAUGGGCCCGCGUUGGAUUAGCUAGUUGGUAGGGUAAAAGCCUACCAAGGCGACGAUCCAUAGCUGGUCUGAUAGGAUGAUCAGCCACGCUGGGACUGAGACACGGACUAGACUCCUACGCGAGGCAGCAGUGGGGAAUAUUGGACGAGGGGCGAAAGCCUGAUCCAGCAAUGCCGCGUGAGUGAUGAAGGCCUUAGGGUUGUAAAGCUCUUUUACCCGGGAUGAUAAUGACGGUACCGGGAGAAUAAGCUCCGGCUAACUCCGUG